GACGAACGCUGGCGGCGUGCUUAACACAUGCAAGUCGAACGGUGAAGCUCCAGCUUGCUGGAGUGGAUCAGUGGCGAACGGGUGAGUAACACGUGAGCAACCUGCCCCUGACUCUGGAAUAAGCGCUGGAAACGGCGUCUAAUACUGGAUACGAGAAGGGUCCGCAUGGGCACUUUCUGGAAAGUUUUUCGGUUGGGGAUGGGCUCGCGGUCUACCAGCUUGGUGGUGAGGUAAUGGCCCACCAAGGCGACGACGGGUAGCCGGCCUGAGAGGGCGACCGGCCACACUGGGACUGAGACACGGGCCAAACUCCUACGGGAGGCAGCGGUAGGAAAUAAUGCACAAUGGGCUAAAACCAAAUGCAGCGACGCCGCGUGAGGGAUGACGGCCUUCGGGUUGUAAACCUCUUUCAGCAGGGAAGAAGCGAAAGUGACGGUACCUGCAGAAGAAGCACCGGCUAACUACGUG
RNAcentral lists this ribosomal RNA (468 nucleotides) under uncultured bacterium. RNAcentral's name for it is "partial 16S ribosomal RNA". It matches the Rfam family "Bacterial small subunit ribosomal RNA", at positions 28 to 507 of the family's 1533-position model. The record is from RNAcentral.